CACCACUUCCCAUUUCAAUUUCUGGGCCAGGGCUGCUGUCAGAGGGAGGCUCUAACCCAGCAGGCUGCAGAAAGGACCCACAGGCCAGUCAUCAGGGGCUCGGCUCAGCGCGAAGGCAGGACAAUGGCCAGGGACAAUAUCUAUGCGAACAUGCCAAUGACGGAAGCUGCUCCCCAGCCCAAAGGAAACCCUCCCGAGACAUCGGUCCCUUGGCGGCACAGGGCGGGGGGCAUCGUCAUUCCUGUCCUUCUCCUCCUGGGUCUGGCCCUGGCCACGUCCCUCAUUGCUGUGACGCUUCUCUAUCUCCGGGCACAGAGCAAGCUGCAAGCGGUUGAAGA
Molecule: long non-coding RNA, 338 nt
Organism: Mauremys reevesii (Reeves's turtle)
Lineage: Eukaryota; Metazoa; Chordata; Testudines; Geoemydidae
Exons: 3
Source: RefSeq, a predicted model, not a curated record